AUCACCUUUAAUUCAAUCCGAGAGGUUGGGAAGGUGAGUCGCCAUUCGAAGAGACAGGAUGCAACACUGUCUGUUUGAGUACAGGCUCCCUUCCCUUGUGGAAUGGAGUCUUUUUUUA
This is a regulatory RNA element of Tumebacillus flagellatus, 118 nucleotides long. It matches the Rfam family "PyrR binding site". Rfam says of the family: This family represents the PyrR binding site and terminator structure. The record is from Rfam. NCBI's taxonomy places the organism in Bacteria, Bacillati, Bacillota, Bacilli, Caryophanales, Alicyclobacillaceae.